CCGCCCGUCACAUCACGAAAAGUGGGUUGUACUAGAAGUCGCUGCGCUAACCGCAAGGAGGCAAGCGCCCAAGGUAUGACUCAUGAUUGGGGUG
RNAcentral lists this ribosomal RNA (94 nucleotides) under uncultured bacterium. RNAcentral's name for it is "partial 16S ribosomal RNA". It matches the Rfam family "Bacterial small subunit ribosomal RNA", at positions 1390 to 1482 of the family's 1533-position model. The record is from RNAcentral.